GGUUAAGCGACUAAGCGUACACGGUGGAUGCCCUGGCAGUCAGAGGCGAUGAAGGACGUGCUAAUCUGCGAUAAGCGUCGGUAAGGUGAUAUGAACCGUUAUAACCGGCGAUUUCCGAAUGGGGAAACCCAGUGUGAUUCGUCACACUAUCAUUAACUGAAUCCAUAGGUUAAUGAGGCGAACCGGGGGAACUGAAACAUCUAAGUACCCCGAGGAAAAGAAAUCAACCGAGAUUCCCCCAGUAGCGGCGAGCGAACGGGGAGCAGCCCAGAGCCUGAAUCAGUGUGUGUGUUAGUGGAAGCGUCUGGAAAGGCGCGCGAUACAGGGUGACAGCCCCGUACACAAAAAUGCACAUAUUGUGAGCUCGAUGAGUAGGGCGGGACACGUGGUAUCCUGUCUGAAUAUGGGGGGACCAUCCUCCAAGGCUAAAUACUCCUGACUGACCGAUAGUGAACCAGUACCGUGAGGGAAAGGCGAAAAGAACCCCGGCGAGGGGAGUGAAAAAGAACCUGAAACCGUGUACGUACAAGCAGUGGGAGCACGCUUAGGCGUGUGACUGCGUACCUUUUGUAUAAUGGGUCAGCGACUUAUAUUCUGUAGCAAGGUUAACCGAAUAGGGGAGCCGAAGGGAAACCGAGUCUUAACUGGGCGUUAAGUUGCAGGGUAUAGACCCGAAACCCGGUGAUCUAGCCAUGGGCAGGUUGAAGGUUGGGUAACACUAACUGGAGGACCGAACCGACUAAUGUUGAAAAAUUAGCGGAUGACUUGUGGCUGGGGGUGAAAGGCCAAUCAAACCGGGAGAUAGCUGGUUCUCCCCGAAAGCUAUUUAGGUAGCGCCUCGUGAAUUCAUCUCCGGGGGUAGAGCACUGUUUCGGCAAGGGGGUCAUCCCGACUUACCAACCCGAUGCAAACUGCGAAUACCGGAGAAUGUUAUCACGGGAGACACACGGCGGGUGCUAACGUCCGUCGUGAAGAGGGAAACAACCCAGACCGCCAGCUAAGGUCCCAAAGUCAUGGUUAAGUGGGAAACGAUGUGGGAAGGCCCAGACAGCCAGGAUGUUGGCUUAGAAGCAGCCAUCAUUUAAAGAAAGCGUAAUAGCUCACUGGUCGAGUCGGCCUGCGCGGAAGAUGUAACGGGGCUAAACCAUGCACCGAAGCUGCGGCAGCGACGCUGAUGCGUUGUUGGGUAGGGGAGCGUUCUGUAAGCCUGUGAAGGUGUGCUGUGAGGCAUGCUGGAGGUAUCAGAAGUGCGAAUGCUGACAUAAGUAACGAUAAAGCGGGUGAAAAGCCCGCUCGCCGGAAGACCAAGGGUUCCUGUCCAACGUUAAUCGGGGCAGGGUGAGUCGACCCCUAAGGCGAGGCCGAAAGGCGUAGUCGAUGGGAAACAGGUUAAUAUUCCUGUACUUGGUGUUACUGCGAAGGGGGGACGGAGAAGGCUAUGUUGGCCGGGCGACGGUUGUCCCGGUUUAAGCGUGUAGGCUGGUUUUCCAGGCAAAUCCGGAAAAUCAAGGCUGAGGCGUGAUGACGAGGCACUACGGUGCUGAAGCAACAAAUGCCCUGCUUCCAGGAAAAGCCUCUAAGCAUCAGGUAACAUCAAAUCGUACCCCAAACCGACACAGGUGGUCAGGUAGAGAAUACCAAGGCGCUUGAGAGAACUCGGGUGAAGGAACUAGGCAAAAUGGUGCCGUAACUUCGGGAGAAGGCACGCUGAUAUGUAGGUGAAGUCCCUCGCGGAUGGAGCUGAAAUCAGUCGAAGAUACCAGCUGGCUGCAACUGUUUAUUAAAAACACAGCACUGUGCAAACACGAAAGUGGACGUAUACGGUGUGACGCCUGCCCGGUGCCGGAAGGUUAAUUGAUGGGGUCAGCGCAAGCGAAGCUCUUGAUCGAAGCCCCGGUAAACGGCGGCCGUAACUAUAACGGUCCUAAGGUAGCGAAAUUCCUUGUCGGGUAAGUUCCGACCUGCACGAAUGGCGUAAUGAUGGCCAGGCUGUCUCCACCCGAGACUCAGUGAAAUUGAACUCGCUGUGAAGAUGCAGUGUACCCGCGGCAAGACGGAAAGACCCCGUGAACCUUUACUAUAGCUUGACACUGAACAUUGAGCCUUGAUGUGUAGGAUAGGUGGGAGGCUUUGAAGUGUGGACGCCAGUCUGCAUGGAGCCGACCUUGAAAUACCACCCUUUAAUGUUUGAUGUUCUAACGUUGACCCGUGAUCCGGGUUGCGGACAGUGUCUGGUGGGUAGUUUGACUGGGGCGGUCUCCUCCUAAAGAGUAACGGAGGAGCACGAAGGUUGGCUAAUCCUGGUCGGACAUCAGGAGGUUAGUGCAAUGGCAUAAGCCAGCUUGACUGCGAGCGUGACGGCGCGAGCAGGUGCGAAAGCAGGUCAUAGUGAUCCGGUGGUUCUGAAUGGAAGGGCCAUCGCUCAACGGAUAAAAGGUACUCCGGGGAUAACAGGCUGAUACCGCCCAAGAGUUCAUAUCGACGGCGGUGUUUGGCACCUCGAUGUCGGCUCAUCACAUCCUGGGGCUGAAGUAGGUCCCAAGGGUAUGGCUGUUCGCCAUUUAAAGUGGUACGCGAGCUGGGUUUAGAACGUCGUGAGACAGUUCGGUCCCUAUCUGCCGUGGGCGCUGGAGAACUGAGGGGGGCUGCUCCUAGUACGAGAGGACCGGAGUGGACGCAUCACUGGUGUUCGGGUUGUCAUGCCAAUGGCACUGCCCGGUAGCUAAAUGCGGAAGAGAUAAGUGCUGAAAGCAUCUAAGCACGAAACUUGCCCCGAGAUGAGUUCUCCCUGACCCUUUAAGGGUCCUGAAGGAACGUUGAAGACGACGACGUUGAUAGGCCGGGUGUGUAAGCGCAGCGAUGCGUUGAGCUAACCGGUACUAAUGAACCGUGAGGCUUAACCUU
Molecule: ribosomal RNA, 2904 nt
Filed under: Escherichia coli
Lineage: Bacteria; Pseudomonadati; Pseudomonadota; Gammaproteobacteria; Enterobacterales; Enterobacteriaceae
Description: 23S ribosomal RNA
Rfam family: Bacterial large subunit ribosomal RNA
Source: RNAcentral